This is a long non-coding RNA of Epinephelus moara (kelp grouper), 511 nucleotides long. RefSeq lists it as uncharacterized. The transcript is spliced from 3 exons. The record is from RefSeq and is a predicted model, not a curated record. NCBI's taxonomy places the organism in Eukaryota, Metazoa, Chordata, Actinopteri, Perciformes, Serranidae.
UGAACAAGGAUUUCAGCCAAUCACAGGACGCAUGGCAGCAGAUAAUCAGCCAAUGGCAGCUCCGCAGAAGCAUGCUUUGAAUCAUCGUUGACCGUAGGCGUGUGAUCAGACUUGCUGUGCAAGCCAUGAACUUUCUGCUGUGAAUCACUGAGGGAACAACAGAGGAAGGUUGAGGAAAAAACACCACAGAGGUUCUGUGUGUGUGUGUGUGUGUGUGUGUGUGUGUGUGUGUGUGUGUGUGAGCAUGCAGCUCUCGAAUGCUUACCCUCGUGAACAACUGCUUUAGCCAAAGAGGAGGCGAAUUCUCUGCCGCCUCAGCCAAUCACAGGCAGUGUCUGAAGACAGAGCAAGGCAUGCAACUCGCUGGAACCGGGGGCUCUGAUCGUACCCCAGAGAUUGAAGAGACAGCUCCCCCUCAACUUCCUGGUUCCGACCACCAAGCAUCUGUCCAUCCAUCCGUCCAUCCGCCCAUAACUCUCUUUCCUCCUCUCAUACCUUCACCCCUUCUCCC